RNAcentral lists this transfer RNA (34 nucleotides) under Paratelius emasensis. RNAcentral's name for it is "partial tRNA-Ser". The record is from RNAcentral. Lineage: Eukaryota; Metazoa; Arthropoda; Insecta; Coleoptera; Lycidae.
UUUUGAAGUUAGAAGCUUCUUGAUUUAUUUCUUU